AUUCUAUGAUAUUCAAUAAAGAUAUUUUACAUUUUAAAGAAAAUAUUGUGAUAGAUGAAGUAAAUGAUGAUAUAUAAAUGAAGUAAAAUUGUACUCAUUUUUGAGUGCUAACCUUUCUAUUGCUUUGUUGCUUGCUUAUAUAGUGCAACAUAAUUUUUAAGAUUUUAGCUUAUUAGCCAUUUAAAUUUAUCUAGAUACUCAUUAUGCUUGAUAUAAUAUUUAAUUUAA
RNAcentral lists this long non-coding RNA (228 nucleotides) under Lathyrus oleraceus (garden pea). Its description in RNAcentral is "Pisum sativum (pea) long non-coding RNA (PSAT_LNC001404)". The record is from RNAcentral. Lineage: Eukaryota; Viridiplantae; Streptophyta; Magnoliopsida; Fabales; Fabaceae.